Phthorimaea operculella (potato tuberworm) is the source of this 75-nucleotide non-coding RNA. The record is from the annotation of a GenBank genome assembly. Lineage: Eukaryota; Metazoa; Arthropoda; Insecta; Lepidoptera; Gelechiidae.
GCAUCGAUAGCUCUGUGGCGGAGCGGUGGUGGGUCGUCGACCCAUGCGGCCCGGGUUCGAGCCCCGGUCGAUGCA